Molecule: ribosomal RNA, 725 nt
Filed under: Stenotrophomonas sp.
Lineage: Bacteria; Pseudomonadati; Pseudomonadota; Gammaproteobacteria; Lysobacterales; Lysobacteraceae
Description: bacterial SSU rRNA
Rfam family: Bacterial small subunit ribosomal RNA
Source: RNAcentral
UGCAGUCGACGGCAGCACAGUAAGAGCUUGCUCUUAUGGGUGGCGAGUGGCGGACGGGUGAGGAAUACAUCGGAAUCUACCUUUUCGUGGGGGAUAACGUAGGGAAACUUACGCUAAUACCGCAUACGACCUUCGGGUGAAAGCAGGGGACCUUCGGGCCUUGCGCGGAUAGAUGAGCCGAUGUCGGAUUAGCUAGUUGGCGGGGUAAAGGCCCACCAAGGCGACGAUCCGUAGCUGGUCUGAGAGGAUGAUCAGCCACACUGGAACUGAGACACGGUCCAGACUCCUACGGGAGGCAGCAGUGGGGAAUAUUGGACAAUGGGCGCAAGCCUGAUCCAGCCAUACCGCGUGGGUGAAGAAGGCCUUCGGGUUGUAAAGCCCUUUUGUUGGGAAAGAAAAGCAGUCGAUUAAUACUCGGUUGUUCUGACGGUACCCAAAGAAUAAGCACCGGCUAACUUCGUGCCAGCAGCCGCGGUAAUACGAAGGGUGCAAGCGUUACUCGGAAUUACUGGGCGUAAAGCGUGCGUAGGUGGUUGUUUAAGUCUGUUGUGAAAGCCCUGGGCUCAACCUGGGAAUUGCAGUGGAUACUGGGCGACUAGAGUGUGGUAGAGGGUAGUGGAAUUCCCGGUGUAGCAGUGAAAUGCGUAGAGAUCGGGAGGAACAUCCAUGGCGAAGGCAGCUACCUGGACCAACACUGACACUGAGGCACGAAAGCGUGGGGAGCA